This 734-nucleotide ribosomal RNA is filed under the name uncultured bacterium. Its description in RNAcentral is "bacterial SSU rRNA". It matches the Rfam family "Bacterial small subunit ribosomal RNA", at positions 62 to 794 of the family's 1533-position model. The record is from RNAcentral.
UCGAACGAAGCACAGAAAGCAGAUUACUUCGGUUUGAAGCUUUCCGUGACUGAGUGGCGGACGGGUGAGUAACGCGUGGAUAACCUGCCUCACACAGGGGGAUAACAGUUAGAAAUGACUGCUAAUACCGCAUAAGCGCACAGUCUCGCAUGGGACAGUGUGAAAAACUGAGGUGGUGUGAGAUGGAUCCGCGUCUGAUUAGGCAGUUGGCGGGGUAACGGCCCACCAAACCAACGAUCAGUAGCCGGCCUGAGAGGGUGAACGGCCACAUUGGGACUGAGACACGGCCCAAACUCCUACGGGAGGCAGCAGUGGGGAAUAUUGCACAAUGGGGGAAACCCUGAUGCAGCGACGCCGCGUGAAGGAAGAAGUAUUUCGGUAUGUAAACUUCUAUCAGCAGGGAAGAAAAUGACGGUACCUGACUAAGAAGCCCCGGCUAACUACGUGCCAGCAGCCGCGGUAAUACGUAGGGGGCAAGCGUUAUCCGGAUUUACUGGGUGUAAAGGGAGCGUAGGCGGCGAUGCAAGUCAGAAGUGAAAGCCCGGGGCUCAACUCCGGGACUGCUUUUGAAACUGUAUGGCUAGAUUGCAGGAGAGGCAAGUGGAAUUCCUAGUGUAGCGGUGAAAUGCGUAGAUAUUAGGAGGAACACCGGUGGCGAAGGCGGCCUGCUGGACUGCAACUGACGUUGAGGCCCGAAAGCGUGGGGAGCAAACAGGAUUAGAUACCCUGGUAGU